Non-coding RNA from Aedes aegypti (yellow fever mosquito), 74 nucleotides. Lineage: Eukaryota; Metazoa; Arthropoda; Insecta; Diptera; Culicidae. The record is from Rfam.
CCUCUCAUGGCGUAUUGGUUAACGCGCCCCAACUAGAGAUCGGGGAGUCGUGAGUUCGAUUCUCACUGAAAAGA